AGAGUUUGAUCAUGGCUCAGGACGAACGCUGGCGGCGUGCUUAACACAUGCAAGUCGAACGGAAAGGCCCUUCGGGGUACUCGAGUGGCGAACGGGUGAGUAACACGUGGGUGAUCUGCCCUGCACUUUGGGAUAAGCCUGGGAAACUGGGUCUAAUACCGAAUAGGACCACGCGCCUCAUGGUGUGUGGUGGAAAGCUUUUGCGGUGUGGGAUGGGCCCGCGGCCUAUCAGCUUGUUGGUGGGGUAAUGGCCUACCAAGGCGACGACGGGUAGCCGGCCUGAGAGGGUGACCGGCCACACUGGGACUGAGAUACGGCCCAGACUCCUACGGGAGGCAGCAGUGGGGAAUAUUGCACAAUGGGCGCAAGCCUGAUGCAGCGACGCCGCGUGAGGGAUGACGGCCUUCGGGUUGUAAACCUCUUUCAAUAGGGACGAAGCGCAAGUGACGGUACCUAUAGAAGAAGCACCGGCCAACUACGUGCCAGCAGCCGCGGUAAUACGUAGGGUGCGAGCGUUGUCCGGAAUUACUGGGCGUAAAGAGCUCGUAGGUGGUUUGUCGCGUUGUUCGUGAAAACUCACAGCUUAACUGUGGGCGUGCGGGCGAUACGGGCAGACUAGAGUACUGCAGGGGAGACUGGAAUUCCUGGUGUAGCGGUGGAAUGCGCAGAUAUCAGGAGGAACACCGGUGGCGAAGGCGGGUCUCUGGGCAGUAACUGACGCUGAGGAGCGAAAGCGUGGGGAGCGAACAGGAUUAGAUACCCUGGUAGUCCAA
Molecule: ribosomal RNA, 773 nt
Filed under: uncultured bacterium
Lineage: Bacteria
Description: bacterial SSU rRNA
Rfam family: Bacterial small subunit ribosomal RNA
Source: RNAcentral